CCUAGUCUCAUGUUUUGCGCCACAAAGCGGGAAAAUUCAGGCCCAUGCACAUGUUUUGGGCAGCAGCCCAAGUGAUUUUGGACGCGGUUCAUACUUGGAUUUCUAGAUAAAAAUGAUUCAUAGUUAGAGCAAGAAAUUCUUUGUGCACCGCAUGCAGUGCGCAUGUUGCGCACCGCACGUGAUAAUUGGCUCACGCACGGAGUUGGACAGUGGUGUAAAAAAAAAUAUUUUUCUCGUCCGGCCCCGCGUGUGGGCCAAUCACCGUGUGCGGUGCGCGUGGUGCACAAAAAAUUUCUCAGUU
Molecule: long non-coding RNA, 301 nt
Filed under: Elaeis guineensis (African oil palm)
Lineage: Eukaryota; Viridiplantae; Streptophyta; Magnoliopsida; Arecales; Arecaceae
Description: long non-coding RNA (EGUI_LNC013104)
Source: RNAcentral